This 503-nucleotide ribosomal RNA is filed under the name uncultured bacterium. Its description in RNAcentral is "partial 16S ribosomal RNA". It matches the Rfam family "Bacterial small subunit ribosomal RNA", at positions 30 to 523 of the family's 1533-position model. The record is from RNAcentral.
AUUGAACGCUGGCGGCAGGCUUAACACAUGCAAGUCGAGCGGGGUGAUGGUGCUUGCACUAUCACUUAGCGGCGGACGGGUGAGUAAUGCCUAGGAAUCUGCCUAUUAGUGGGGGACAACAUCUCGAAAGGGAUGCUAAUACCGCAUACGUCCUACGGGAGAAAGCAGGGGAUCACUUGUGACCUUGCGCUAAUAGAUGAGCCUAAGUCGGAUUAGCUAGUUGGUGGGGUAAAGGCCUACCAAGGCGACGAUCUGUAGCGGGUCUGAGAGGAUGAGCCGCCACACUGGGACUGAGACACGGCCCAGACUCCUACGGGAGGCAGCAGUGGGGAAUAUUGGACAAUGGGGGGAACCCUGAUCUAGCCAUGCCGCGUGUGUGAAGAAGGCCUUAUGGUUGUAAAGCACUUUAAGCGAGGAGGAGGCUCUUUUGGUUAAUACCCAAGAUGAGUGGACGUUACUCGCAGAAUAAGCACCGGCUAACUCUGUGCCAGCCGCCGCGGUAA